Molecule: ribosomal RNA, 500 nt
Filed under: uncultured soil bacterium
Lineage: Bacteria
Description: bacterial SSU rRNA
Rfam family: Bacterial small subunit ribosomal RNA
Source: RNAcentral
AGAUUGAACGCUGGCGGCAGGCCUAACACAUGCAAGUCGAGCGGUAGAGAGGUGCUUGCAUCUCUUGAGAGCGGCGGACGGGUGAGUAAUGCCUAGGAAUCUGCCUAGUGGUGGGGGAUAACGUUCGGAAACGGACGCUAAUACCGCAUACGUCCUACGGGAGAAAGCGGGGGACCUUCGGGCCUCGCGCCAUUAGAUGAGCCUAGGUCGGAUUAGCUAGUUGGUGAGGUAAUGGCUCACCAAGGCGACGAUCCGUAACUGGUCUGAGAGGAUGAUCAGUCACACUGGAACUGAGACACGGUCCAGACUCCUACGGGAGGCAGCAGUGGGAAUAUUGGACAAUGGGCGAAAGCCUGAUCCAGCCAUGCCGCGUGUGUGAAGAAGGUCUUCGGAUUAGUAAAGCUACUUUAAGUUGGAGGAAGGUUGUAACUAAUACGUUGCUAACUUUGACGUUACCGACAGAAAUAAGCAACCGGCUAACUUCGAGCCAGCACGCCGUA